UCUGGUAAUGAUGGCAGAGAGGCCACACCCGUUCCCAUACCGAACACGGAAGUUAAGCUCUCUAGCGCC
Molecule: ribosomal RNA, 69 nt
Filed under: Bacillus anthracis (anthrax bacterium)
Lineage: Bacteria; Bacillati; Bacillota; Bacilli; Caryophanales; Bacillaceae
Source: RNAcentral